CUGACUUAAUUUCAACACUAACAAAAUAUAUUUAAUUUCUUUAUACAUACAAAUAAUAAAGUUAAAUGCUAAAGUUUAUUUUAAGAAGAUGUAAUUGUGUAGAGUUCAAAACAAAAAUAAAAUAACGAAUUAAAUAUUAUUGUUAAAAACGAAUUGAUACAGGCAUAUAGAAAAUUGACAUGAUGCGAUCUUACUGUUCUUAAUUGAUAAGGGUUUUAAGAAAUAUAAACUUACGCAGGUAAAGAAAAAAUCGGUAUGCUUAGAAGGCCUAAGACAGGAGGAGGUCCAGCCCCCCCUUCUUUAACAGCAUCGGAGGACGCACUGAUGCAAGCAUUUGACGGACGGCCACAGAUAUGCGGUCUGGCGGACGGUAUCGACACUGACGCCAAUGACGAAACAACAGAAACAUCAAAGGAUGUGGAAUCUAUCACAUUGGCUUCCGGAACAACAUCGUCCACUUCGUCAACGUCUAAACCAUCGGCCUCCACGUCGUCCUCUUUAUCGGAGCGACCAAC
Molecule: long non-coding RNA, 515 nt
Organism: Magallana angulata
Lineage: Eukaryota; Metazoa; Mollusca; Bivalvia; Ostreida; Ostreidae
Exons: 2
Source: RefSeq, a predicted model, not a curated record